This 492-nucleotide ribosomal RNA is filed under the name uncultured bacterium. RNAcentral's name for it is "partial 16S ribosomal RNA". It matches the Rfam family "Bacterial small subunit ribosomal RNA", at positions 29 to 507 of the family's 1533-position model. The record is from RNAcentral.
AGUGAACGCUGGCGGUAGGCCUAACACAUGCAAGUCGAACGGCAGCACAGUAAGAGCUUGCGCUUACGGGUGGCGAGUGGCGGACGGGUGAGGAAUACAUCGGAAUCUACUUUUUCGUGGGGGAUAACGUAGGGAAACUUACGCUAAUACCGCAUACGACCUACGGGUGAGAGCAGGGGAUCUUCGGACCUUGCGCGAGUGAAUGAGCCGAUGUCGGAUUAGCUAGUUGGCGGGGUAAAGGCCCACCAAGGCGACGAUCCGUAGCUGGUCUGAGAGGAUGAUCAGCCACACUGGAACUGAGACACGGUCCAGACUCCUACGGGAGGCAGCAGUGGGGAAUAUUGGACAAUGGGCGCAAGCCUGAUCCAGCCAUACCGCGUGGGUGAAGAAGGCCUUCGGGUUGUAAAGCCCUUUUGGUGGGAAAGAAAAGCAGCAGGUUAAUACCCCGCUGUUCUGACGGUACCCAAAGAAUAAGCACCGGCUAACUUCGUG